RNAcentral lists this ribosomal RNA (1854 nucleotides) under Triticum aestivum (bread wheat). Its description in RNAcentral is "partial small subunit ribosomal RNA". The record is from RNAcentral. Lineage: Eukaryota; Viridiplantae; Streptophyta; Magnoliopsida; Poales; Poaceae.
AUGCAAGAGAAGAAAGUUGUGGCCUAUACCUCUCGUCAGUUGAAGCCCAAUGAGAAGAACUACGCCACUCACGAUCUUGAGUUGGCGGCAGUUGUCCAUGCAUUAAUAACGUGGAGACAUCUCUUAGUGGGAAGACAAGUGGACAUAUUCACCGAUCACAAGAGUCUCAAGUACAUCUUCACUCAGCCCAACCUCAACCUCAGGCAGACUCGAUGGGUCGAAACGAUUCAAGAGUACAAUCCGAGUAUUGAAUAUACUCCAAGCAAGGCCAAUGUCAUUGCAGAUGCUUUAAGCAGGAAGGCUUAUUGCAACAGCUUAAUUCUCAAGCCAUUCCAACCGGAUCUUUGUGAAGCUUUCCGCAAGCUGAAUCUUCAAGUUGUUCCUCAAGGCUUUCUUGCCAACCUCAUAGUCUCUCCUACUUUGGAAGAUCAAAUUCUUGAGGCACAACUUCUUGAUGCCAUGGUGAAGAAGGUGAAACGUGGUAUCGACAAGGGUCUUCCCAAAUACAAGUGCUAUCGCAUUGAUGACAGAGACACUUUGUUCUUCGAGGACCUGAUUGUGGUUCCUAAAGGUGAUCUAAGGAAAGUCAUUAUGAACGAGGCACACAAUUCUCUCCUUUCCAUUCAUCCUGGAAGUACGAAGAUGUACCAUGACCUCAAGCAGUCGUAUUUGUGGACUCGAAUGAAGCGAGAAAUUGCUCAAUUCGUGAAUGAUUGUGAUGUCUGUCGAAGAGUGAAAGCAGAACACCAACGACCAGCUGGUCUCCUUCAACCUCUUGCUAUCCCAGAAUGGAAGUUUGAUCAUAUCGAAAUGGACUUCGUGACUGGAUUUCCAAAGUCCAAGCGCGGAAAUGAUGCUAUCUUCGUUGUCAUCGACAAGCUUUCUAAAGUGGCUCAUUUCCUUCCAAUCAAAGACUCUAUCACAGCAGCUCAGUUGGCAGAGCUAUACACCUCCAGGAUUGUCUCCUUGCACGACAUUCCACAAUUGAUAUCUUCAGAUCGUGGAAGCAUCUUCACCUCUAAGUUCUGGGACUCCUUCCAGAAGGCCAUGGGCACAAACAUUCGUUUCAGCACAGCUUUCCAUCCUCAAACUAGUGGCCAAGUCGAGCGAGUCAAUCAAAUUCUUGAAGAUAUGCUCAGGGCUUGUGUCAUUUCCUUUGGCAUGAAAUGGGAAGAUUGUCUUCCAUAUGCCGAAUUCUCCUGCAACAACAGCUUCCAAGCGAGUUCGGGCAAGGCCCCAUUCGAGAUUCUUUAUGGCAGAAAGUGCCGUACUCCUCUCAAUUGGUCAGAGACUGGUGAAAGCCAACUUCUUGGCAAUGACUUAAUCACUGAAGCUGAAGAAAUGUGUAAAGUCAUCCGUGAUAAUCUCAAAGCCACGCAAUCGCGCCAGAAGAGUUACUAUGAUAGUAAGCACCGUGAUGUGGCUUUCGAGAUCGGAGACCAUGUCUACCUCCGCGUCUCUCCAUUGAAAGGCACUCGUCUCUUCGGUAUCAAAGGGAAGCUUGCCCCUAGAUACGUGGGUCCUUUCAAGAUCAUUGGCAAAAGAGGCGACCUCGCCUAUCAACUUGAGCUUCCUUCCAACUUCGCGAACGUGCAUGAUGUGUUCCAUGUGUCACAGCUCCGCAAGUGCUUCAAGACGCAUGAGCGCACUAUCAACUUCGAAGAGAUUGACCUCCAAGAAGAUCUGUCUUAUCAUGAGCACCCCGUUGCUACUCUUGAAGAAACUGAGCGCAAGACUCGUAACAAGUCAAUCAAAUUCCUGAAAGUGAAGUGGUCGCAUCAUUCCGACCGAGAAGCCACCUGGGAAUGCGAGGACCACCUCCGUUCCGAAUAUCAAGAGUUCUUUCAGUCCUAG